Miniopterus natalensis is the source of this 215-nucleotide non-coding RNA. NCBI's taxonomy places the organism in Eukaryota, Metazoa, Chordata, Mammalia, Chiroptera, Miniopteridae. The record is from RefSeq and is a predicted model, not a curated record.
UUUUACUGCGCGGAGGACUGUAGGUGCCGAGCCAGUUUGGUCCAUGGGUCGCCAUAGGAACCAGACUGAGCCAAUCAGAGGGAAUCUCAGGAAUUUAUUGGAUGGUGGGAGAGAGAUGCUUCCAUUUCCUGCUACACAGGAGCCAAGCACUCCUGCCUCUCAUCGCUCCCAAUUCAGAUGACCUCUAAACUCCAUCGCCAGAGGCACAAGCUACC